Molecule: ribosomal RNA, 690 nt
Filed under: Triticum aestivum (bread wheat)
Lineage: Eukaryota; Viridiplantae; Streptophyta; Magnoliopsida; Poales; Poaceae
Description: partial small subunit ribosomal RNA
Source: RNAcentral
AUGACAUGCUUGAGCUGGAACUGCCGGGGGCUUGGGAACCCCGAGGCAGUUCGCGAGCUUCGAAGUAUAGUGAAGCUAGAAGGACCCACUCUUCUCUUUGUGAUAGAAACGAAAAUUCAAGCUAAAAGAAUUAGGGCUUUGAAGUUUACCCUCGGUUUUGGAGGGUGUUUUGCAGUCGACAGUGUCGGCCUAGGUGGUGGCAUUGGUCUGUUUUGGUCACGUGAUGUGACUGUUGAGUUGAAAAAUUUCAGCAAGUGUCACAUUGAUGUGGUGGUUCAUAGUAACAAUCAGAGUGCUUCGGUAUGGAGGUUUAUUGGUUUUUACGGGGCGCCGAGAGCUUCAGAUCGUGGUGAAAGCUGGCAGCUCCUGCGCACUCUCUUUGCUAUACCCCAUGUAGCAUGGCUGUGUAUGGGGGAUUUUAAUGAAACUCUCUAUGCAUCCGAACACUUUAGCAGAAGAGCAAGAUCGGAAACACACAUGCGAGCGUUUCGGACUGUUAUGGAUGAGGUUUCCAUGCAAGCUUUAGGCUGGUCGGGUACACCAUAUACGUGGGACAACCAGCAAGCAGGUGCAGCAAAUGUAAAGGCACGCCUAGACCGAGCUUUUGGGAAUGAAGAUUUUCAACAACUUUUUCAACAUAUACGGUCAGACAUCUCCCCUCUGUUGAGUCUGAUCACUGUUUUGUCGUAG